CGUCCGGUAGCUCAGUGGAAGAGCGCUGCGUUUGCAACGUAGAGGUCGGCGGUUCGAUUCCGCCCCGGACAA
This 72-nucleotide transfer RNA is filed under the name Deinococcus xianganensis. Its description in RNAcentral is "tRNA-Ala". It matches the Rfam family "tRNA". Rfam says of the family: Transfer RNA (tRNA) molecules are approximately 80 nucleotides in length. Their secondary structure includes four short double-helical elements and three loops (D, anti-codon, and T loops). Further hydrogen bonds mediate the characteristic L-shaped molecular structure. tRNAs have two regions of fundamental functional importance: the anti-codon, which is responsible for specific mRNA codon recognition, and the 3' end, to which the tRNAs corresponding amino acid is attached (by aminoacyl-tRNA synthetases). tRNAs cope with the degeneracy of the genetic code in two manners: having more than one tRNA (with a specific anti-codon) for a particular amino acid; and 'wobble' base-pairing, i.e. permitting non-standard base-pairing at the 3rd anti-codon position. Lineage: Bacteria; Thermotogati; Deinococcota; Deinococci; Deinococcales; Deinococcaceae. The record is from RNAcentral.